This 668-nucleotide long non-coding RNA is filed under the name Nicotiana tabacum (common tobacco). RNAcentral describes it as "long non-coding RNA (NTAB_LNC008204)". The record is from RNAcentral. Lineage: Eukaryota; Viridiplantae; Streptophyta; Magnoliopsida; Solanales; Solanaceae.
CCUGAACACGACCAAACUCACCGGAAAAGAGAUCAGCGCCCAUAUCCUUCUCUCAUCAAGCAAACGACCACCCAUCGCCGCCUCUCCGUCAACCAGCCUCCCGCGCAGCAGUAAGUCCGGCGACAAACCAACAGCUUUCCACCUCUGGCCCUUCCAAAAACCAACGAAGAACAACCAGGUCAACAUCGACCAGCUAACCCGCCAGCGACCCUGCCACCGCCGUUCCUCCGUUAUGAACCAGCAGUAGCCUCCGCUGUCAACCAGCAGCAUCUGCAAGCUGCGAAAGAAAAACGAAAAAACUUAAGAGGGUUUGCUGUUAGUGUUCAUUCUUGAAUUCAUAGAAGAACAAGUUUCGUCAUGAUCUAGAAAGAAGAUAAUGUAUAUCAUCCUUUUAAGAAUUACAAAUAGCUUGAGUCUCCUAACAUCUGAUAACAAAGUGAGAACGAGAGGAUGAGUUUGGACUAGAGUGUCCCAGUUAUCCCUAGCCUCACGAAGGCAUUCUCAGUUUCGAGCUUGGGGGCAUCUGUACGAGGUUUUCGGUCCAGGUUCGUAGGCUUGAAGCAACCACUGAUGUGCACUUGAUUUGGAGUUUUACUGUUCAAUAUAAAAGAGGGAGUCAUCUAAGGUUCAAUCUUUCUCUUUCCUUUGUUUUUUUGGGUUUAUCUCCG